GCUGUGCGAGCCGCGGCGCGAGGUCGCCCACGCUCCCUUCUCCCCGCCCUGUGGGUCCCGGGCACCCGGAGUGUUCGGUGUCUGGCGCCCGUGCGUGAUGACGUACACGCGCGCCAAGACGUGGGGACGCAGGCGGGCCGUAGAGAGCGUUCAGCUUCCUGUAUAUCUUCCCAGAUGCCUAAAACCUGACCACAUUUUCCCAUCACUGGGUUGACAUCUAACCAUGCAGCGGAGAUCAAGAGGAAUUAAUACUGGACUUAUUCUGCUCCUUUCUCAAAUCUUCCAUGUUGGGGUCAACAAUAUUCCACCUGUCACCCUAGCAACUUUGGCUGUCAACAUCUGGUUCUUCUUGAAUCCUCUGAAGCCACUGUUGGGCUCCUGCCUUAGCGUGGAGACGUGUUACCAGCAGAAAGACUGGCAGCGCUUACUGCUUUCUCCUUUUCACCAUGCAGACGAUUGGCAUUUGUAUUUCAAUAUGGCAUCCAUGCUAUGGAAAGGAAUCAAUCUGGAAAGGAGACUGGGAAGUAAAUGGUUUGCCUAUGUCAUCGGCACAUUCUCACUACUCACCGGGGUGGUGUACCUGUUGUUGGAAUUUGCUCUUGCAGAAUUUAUGAAUGAACCUGGCUUCAGAAGGAACUGUGCUGUAGGUUUCUCAGGAGUUUUGUUUGCUUUGAAAGUUCUUAACAACCAUUAUUGCCCUGGAGGCUUUGCCAACGUUUUGGGCUUUCCUGUACCCAACAGAUUUGCUUGUUGGGCAGAACUUGUGGCUAUUCAUUUCAUCUCGCCAGGGGCUUCUUUCGCUGGGCAUCUGGCCGGGAUUCUCGUCGGACUAAUGUACACUCUUGGGCCUCUGAAGAAAAUCAUGGAAAUGUGUGCAGGCAAUUUUCCCUCCCCUGUUCAUUACCCAGGACAGCAGUACUACUUUAAUAGUUCAGGCUACUCCAGAUAUCAGGAUUAUUACCCCCACGGCAUGCCAGGUUACUCUGAAGAAGUACCCAGGGACUAUGACGCAUACACAGCAGGACUGAGUGAAGAGGAACAACUGGAGAGAGCGUUGAGAGCCAGCCUCUGGGACCGAGAACGCUCCCUUUGGAUCAUGGUUCUUGCUUGCAGCUCUGUGUUGGGAGAUACUCACUUCAGCGAGUGAAGUUUGACAUUCGAGACUGUGUCUAGAUGUCAAAUUGUGCCCGUAAAGAAACAUAAGCACGGGCAGAGUCCACCUGACUUUCGAGGGAAGGGAGACAGAUGAUAAAGUGUGACAAACGGCUCUGAUGUACGUGUGCUAACAUCUGGUAAGAUGUGUGCCGUGAUUGCUGCGUGGUUCUGCUUCUGUUUCGCCAUCAGAAUGGGCAGCACUCAACUCCUUUUCUGGAAGUUCUACCUGAAUUCCAGAUGUCCUGAGGUGGACUGUGUUGAGGACCUAAGACAGUGGUGAUGGCUAACUGAGCUCAUCUAUAACAGUCUUGAGAAUUUGGUUAACGUUUGUUGUUCUAGUUAUAAAAGCAAUAUAUAUUCACUGCGGAAAAUACAAAUGAGAAAAGAAGACAAAAAAAGAACCCAUAACCCCAGCACCCAGAGAAGAACCACGUAACAUUUGAGGUGUACCCUUGCAGCUACCCAUAACAUAGGCACCCAGAAGAAACCACAGCAAAUGUUGUGGUGAAAUUCUUUCCAAGUCAGCAAGAAUUAAGUGCCUCUCCGUGGGACGAGGAAGGUUCACAUACCCACACAGAACCCUAAGAAAUAAGCAUUUGCAAUUAUCUUUGUUAUUUCAGAUUGUGAAGCAGUGGCAUAGAGAAGUUAAAUGACUUGCCCAGGGUGGCAUUCUAAGAAGGGACACUAGUUGGGACACUUUUAUGUCUUACCAACAGAGCCUGUUUAGAAGAAGCAUUUCUAGGCUGCUGCUGAAUUGUUGAUGACAGGAGAGAGGUUUUCUCCGUAUAGUCAAGACCUAACUGACCUGGAGUUAGGUUUGUAUUCUUGGAGAUGGUUUGGCUGAUGUGAUGUUCCUGAAUUCAGAACCCUGAAAACGGAGGGGGGUGUGGCUACGCCCUUUAGAGAGACUGUAUUACUUCCAGAAUAACAGUGACAUUUCCCUCA
RNA transcript from Leopardus geoffroyi (Geoffroy's cat), 2100 nucleotides. It is a transcript of the gene named rhomboid domain containing 1, with no coding region annotated. The record is from RefSeq and is a predicted model, not a curated record. Lineage: Eukaryota; Metazoa; Chordata; Mammalia; Carnivora; Felidae. The transcript has 8 exons.